Molecule: ribosomal RNA, 324 nt
Filed under: uncultured soil bacterium
Lineage: Bacteria
Description: bacterial SSU rRNA
Rfam family: Bacterial small subunit ribosomal RNA
Source: RNAcentral
AGAUUGAACGCUGGCGGCAGGCCUAACACAUGCAAGUCGAGCGGUAGAGAGGUGCUUGCAUCUCUUGAGAGCGGCGGACGGGUGAGUAAUGCCUAGGAAUCUGCCUAGUGGUGGGGGAUAACGUUCGGAAACGGACGCUAAUACCGCAUACGUCCUACGGGAGAAAGCGGGGGACCUUCGGGCCUCGCGCCAUUAGAUGAGCCUAGGUCGGAUUAGCUAGUUGGUGAGGUAAUGGCUCACCAAGGCGACGAUCCGUAACUGGUCUGAGAGGAUGAUCAGUCACACUGGAACUGAGACACGGUCCAGACUCCGACGGGAGCAGCA